AUUGAACGCUGGCGGCAGGCCUAACACAUGCAAGUCGAGCGGAUGAAGGGAGCUUGCUCCUGGAUUCAGCGGCGGACGGGUGAGUAAUGCCUAGGAAUCUGCCUGGUAGUGGGGGAUAACGUCCGGAAACGGGCGCUAAUACCGCAUACGUCCUGAGGGAGAAAGUGGGGGAUCUUCGGACCUCACGCUAUCAGAUGAGCCUAGGUCGGAUUAGCUAGUUGGUGGGGUAAAGGCCUACCAAGGCGACGAUCCGUAACUGGUCUGAGAGGAUGAUCAGUCACACUGGAGCUGAGACACGGUCCAGACUCCUACGGGAGGCAGCAGUGGGGAAUAUUGGACAGUGGGCGAAAGCCUGAUCCAGCCAUGCCGCGUGUGUGAAGAAGGUCUUCGGAUUGUAAAGCACGUUAAGUUGGGAGGAAGGGCAGUAAGUUAAUACCUUGCUGUUUUGACGUUACCAACAGAAUAAGCACCGGCUAACUUCGUG
RNAcentral lists this ribosomal RNA (484 nucleotides) under uncultured bacterium. RNAcentral describes it as "partial 16S ribosomal RNA". It matches the Rfam family "Bacterial small subunit ribosomal RNA", at positions 30 to 507 of the family's 1533-position model. The record is from RNAcentral.